Molecule: ribosomal RNA, 497 nt
Filed under: uncultured bacterium
Lineage: Bacteria
Description: partial 16S ribosomal RNA
Rfam family: Bacterial small subunit ribosomal RNA
Source: RNAcentral
GAUGAACGCUGGCGGCGUGCCUAAUACAUGCAAGUCGAGCGAACGGACGAGAAGCUUGCUUCUCUGAUGUUAGCGGCGGACGGGUGAGUAACACGUGGAUAACCUACCUAUAAGACUGGGAUAACUUCGGGAAACCGGAGCUAAUACCGGAUGAUAUUUUGAACCGCAUGGUUCAAAAGUGAAAGACGGUCUUGCUGUCACUUAUAGAUGGAUCCGCGCUGCAUUAGCUAGUUGGUAAGGUAACGGCUUACCAAGGCAACGAUGCAUAGCCGACCUGAGAGGGGGAGCGGCGACGCUGGAGCGGAGACGCGGGCCAGACGCGUGCGGGAGGGAGCAGUAGGGAAUCGUCCGCAAUGGGCGAAAGGCUGACGGAGCAACGCCGCGUGAGUGAUGAAGGUCUUCGGAUCGUAAAACUCUGUUAUUAGGGAAGAACAUAUGUGUAAGUAACUGUGCACAUCUUGACGGUACCUAAUCAGAAAGCCACGGCUAACUACGUG